Molecule: non-coding RNA, 87 nt
Organism: Podarcis lilfordi (Lilford's wall lizard)
Lineage: Eukaryota; Metazoa; Chordata; Lepidosauria; Squamata; Lacertidae
Source: the annotation of a GenBank genome assembly
AUUAAUGUUGGAAAAAGAGUUCUAAUAUUUUUAUUAAAACAAGAAAAUCCUUAAUAAAAAUAUUAGAACUCUUUUUCCAACAUUAAU